This 252-nucleotide ribosomal RNA is filed under the name uncultured bacterium. RNAcentral's name for it is "partial 16S ribosomal RNA". It matches the Rfam family "Bacterial small subunit ribosomal RNA", at positions 524 to 776 of the family's 1533-position model. The record is from RNAcentral.
UACGUAGGGGGCAAGCGUUGUCCGGAAUCAUUGGGCGUAAAGCGCGUGUAGGCGGCCCGGUAAGUCCGCUGUGAAAGUCGGGGGCUCAACCCUCGAAUGCCGGUGGAUACUGUCGGGCUAGAGUGCGGGAGAGGCGAGUGGAAUUCCUGGUGUAGCGGUGAAAUGCGCAGAUAUCAGGAGGAACACCAAUGCGAAGGCAGCUCGCUGGAACGUAACUGACGCUGAGACGCGAAAGCGUGGGGAGCAAACAGG